RNAcentral lists this long non-coding RNA (359 nucleotides) under Chrysolophus pictus (golden pheasant). RNAcentral describes it as "lncRNA (ENSCPIG00010001989.1)". The record is from RNAcentral. Lineage: Eukaryota; Metazoa; Chordata; Aves; Galliformes; Phasianidae.
GAUGGAUCAGUUGCCAAGUUCUUAUGUAAUGAGACACAAGGAAGGGGCAAGUGCUGAGGAAGGAGAAAGAACACUAUUGCACCAGCUAAGAUUCCAUGACUUCUAUCAGCUGGGACAACUGUGGCCUCAGCUCCAGUCAUCCUGGUACACACACUAGAGGUGGCCACCCUGAGCGUCUCCUUGGUGUCCCACAGCUCAGAACUGCUUUUAGAGCUCUGCUAGUUCGGUGCAGUGGCAAUGAGCCAGAAGAAUACAUUCAUGUUAUAUCCUUCAGGGAAACACAAGCUGCUCAAAAGCUGACCUCCCAGAAUUACCCAGAAGGAGGAAAAGUCAGCAUUCCCAGCCCGCCCCCAGAGUGA